AGAUUGAACGCUGGCGGCAGGCCUAACACAUGCAAGUCGAGCGGUAGAGAGGUGCUUGCACCUCUUGAGAGCGGCGGACGGGUGAGUAAUGCCUAGGAAUCUGCCUAGUGGUGGGGGAUAACGUUCGGAAACGGACGCUAAUACCGCAUACGUCCUACGGGAGAAAGCGGGGGACCUUCGGGCCUCGCGCCAUUAGAUGAGCCUAGGUCGGAUUAGCUAGUUGGUGAGGUAAUGGCUCACCAAGGCGACGAUCCGUAACUGGUCUGAGAGGAUGAUCAGUCACACUGGAACUGAGACACGGUCCAGACUCCUACGGGAGCAGCAGGUGGGGAAUUAGUUGGACAAGUGGGGACGAAAGCCUGAUCCAGCCAU
This 372-nucleotide ribosomal RNA is filed under the name uncultured soil bacterium. RNAcentral describes it as "bacterial SSU rRNA". It matches the Rfam family "Bacterial small subunit ribosomal RNA", at positions 26 to 395 of the family's 1533-position model. The record is from RNAcentral.